Molecule: ribosomal RNA, 483 nt
Filed under: uncultured bacterium
Lineage: Bacteria
Description: partial 16S ribosomal RNA
Rfam family: Bacterial small subunit ribosomal RNA
Source: RNAcentral
ACUCAAAUGAAUUGACGGGGACCCGCACAAGUAGUGGAGCACUUGGUUUAAUUCGAUGCUAACCGAAGAACCUUACCAAGGCUUGAACUGUAACUGCUAAUCCUGUGAAAGCAGGACUCCUUCGAGGGUGUUACAGAGGUGCUGCAUGGCUGUUGUCAGCUCGUGUCGUGAGAUGUUGGGUUAAGUCCCGCAACGUGCGCAACCCCUAUUCGCUGUUAUAAUUUCUGCGAAGACCGCCUUGCCAAAACGAGGAGGAAGAUGGGGAUGACUUCUAGUCAUCAUAGCCCUUAUGUCUUGGGCUACACAAGUGCUACAAUGGUUACUACAAUGGGCUGCCAAACCGCAAGGUGGAGCUAAUCCCACAAAAGUAGCCUCAGUUCAGAUUGUCGGCUGAAAUUCGCCGGCAUGAAGUCGGAAUUACUAGUAAUCGCGGAUCAGCAUGCCGCGGUGAAUACGUUCUCGGGUCUUGUACACACCGCCCGU